RNAcentral lists this transfer RNA (62 nucleotides) under Dipodomys ordii (Ord's kangaroo rat). It matches the Rfam family "tRNA", at positions 1 to 61 of the family's 71-position model. Rfam says of the family: Transfer RNA (tRNA) molecules are approximately 80 nucleotides in length. Their secondary structure includes four short double-helical elements and three loops (D, anti-codon, and T loops). Lineage: Eukaryota; Metazoa; Chordata; Mammalia; Rodentia; Heteromyidae. The record is from Rfam by way of RNAcentral.
GGGAAGGUGGCUCAGUGGUAGAGUGCUUGCCUCACAUGCAAGAGGCCCUGGAUUCUAUUCCU